GAAGUGGUGUCGGAAAUGGUAGAGACGAUAGUCAAGUAGCAUUCCAAACUUGAUGAGUGUGUAAAAAGGCAAUAUUGCUUGGGGCAAGGGAUGCACCCCACACAAAUGCAGGUUCGAAUCCUGCCCACUUCA
RNAcentral lists this transfer RNA (132 nucleotides) under Riemerella anatipestifer. RNAcentral describes it as "tRNA-Phe". Lineage: Bacteria; Pseudomonadati; Bacteroidota; Flavobacteriia; Flavobacteriales; Weeksellaceae. The record is from RNAcentral.